GAUAAGAAAGUAGUGAUAAGCUACUGCCCAGUGUGUAUGAUAAGAAAGUAGUGAUAAGUUACAACCCAGUGUGUAUGAUAUGAACGUAGUGAUAAGCUACUACCCAGUGUGUAUGAUACGAACGUAGUGAUAAGCUACUACCCAGUGUGUAUGAUAUGAAAGUAGUGAUAAGCUACUACCCAGUGUGCAUGAUAAGAAAGUAGUGAUAAGCU
Non-coding RNA from Biomphalaria pfeifferi, 212 nucleotides. NCBI's taxonomy places the organism in Eukaryota, Metazoa, Mollusca, Gastropoda, Planorbidae. The record is from the annotation of a GenBank genome assembly.